GCCUGGUGGCUCAGUCGGUUGAGCGCCUGACUUCAGCUCAGGUCAUGAUCUCGUGGUUCACGGGUUUGAGCCCCGUGUUGGGCU
Molecule: transfer RNA, 84 nt
Filed under: Felis catus (domestic cat)
Lineage: Eukaryota; Metazoa; Chordata; Mammalia; Carnivora; Felidae
Rfam family: tRNA
About the family: Transfer RNA (tRNA) molecules are approximately 80 nucleotides in length. Their secondary structure includes four short double-helical elements and three loops (D, anti-codon, and T loops).
Source: Rfam by way of RNAcentral